Vicia faba (fava bean) is the source of this 339-nucleotide non-coding RNA. NCBI's taxonomy places the organism in Eukaryota, Viridiplantae, Streptophyta, Magnoliopsida, Fabales, Fabaceae. The record is from the annotation of a GenBank genome assembly.
AUGAAUAAGCGCGAGCAAAAACCCGUAACCCAUCUGCACAGUUCACCGCCACCGGGUGCAGUAACUUCCGACCGUUGCCCAACCGCGAGCGCGUCUCCGAACAACCAUCAUCAACGACCCAUACUUAUCGGCAAUACUCCAUCCUUGCCAUCAGGAGUCCCCGAUUUCAGAUUCAUUCCGAAUCAUCAAGGAGAAGGCAACACAAACUGGCGCAGUGGUAAGAUGAAAGGCUAUGGAAGGAGAGGGUUUGGGUUUAAGUCCCAUCCCAUGCAAUUUCUUUUUACUAACUCCUUUUCUUGUUUAUUUCCAUUAAUUAAUUUUGUUAUAACUAGUAAUUAG